Molecule: transfer RNA, 76 nt
Filed under: Candidatus Liberibacter europaeus
Lineage: Bacteria; Pseudomonadati; Pseudomonadota; Alphaproteobacteria; Hyphomicrobiales; Rhizobiaceae
Description: tRNA-Trp
Rfam family: tRNA
About the family: Transfer RNA (tRNA) molecules are approximately 80 nucleotides in length. Their secondary structure includes four short double-helical elements and three loops (D, anti-codon, and T loops).
Source: RNAcentral
GGGGGUAUAGCUCAGUUGGUAGAGCGACGGUCUCCAAAACCGUAGGUCGUGGGUUCGAAUCCCUCUGCCCCUGCCA